AGGGCCGCACCUGCUGCAUAUGGACGUUUCCAAGCUAGGGGUCAAAUCAGAGCUGCAGCUGCUGGCCAACACCACAGCCACAGCAAUGCUAGAUGUGAGCUGUGUCUGUGACCUACACCACAGCUCACGGCAACGCUGGAUCCUUAACCCAUUGAGUGGGGCCAGGGAUUGAAGCCUUGUCCUCAUGGAUGCUACGAGUUGUUGCUGACUUGAGCCAGCUGAGGCGGCUUUGAGGCUGGGGUUGAAAUCUUCUGAAAGUGUGCGUGCUCACAUGUGUAGUGGUUGCUGCUGACUGCUGGCUGAGGUUGGGUCACUUGCAUGUGGCCUUUCCGUGUGGCCGCGUGGCUUCCUCACAGCAUGGUGGCUGGGCUGCAAGGGUCCAAUGGUGAGUGGCACCCAAAAGAGAGAGAGUCAGGUACAAAUUCUAUCAGUGUUUAUGACCUCGCCAUGGAAGUCUUGCCACUUUUGCCACAUUCAAUGCACCAGGGCAGUUACAAAAUCCUGCCGAGAGUCAGAGAGAGGGGAGUAGACACCUGCUCUUGAUAGGGGAGUAGGACGAGUACCAAGGAAUCCAUAUAUUAUUGUGAGAUUUGGUUGAGGAAAAUAAAUUCUGCCACAGAUGGAGUGGCUACUUACGGACGUGAAGAGAACUAGAAAGGGAGAAGGCUGGGGCGGCUGAGUUCAGGAGCUGAUAUCAGGAGUUUGAGAUGAUUUUGUGUGACGUGCCCCUUGGACUUUCAAACGGAGAGCCAGGCAGGCAGGUGUAUUUGUGAAUUUAGAGGUCAGGGAUGUCACCACUGCAUAGUUCACGUUUAAAAUCAGAAAGCCAGAUAACAUGACCAGAGACGUGGGUGUAAAUUGAAAAGAAUGUGAUCCAAGAAUCGAGUUCUGGGGCCCCCCGACGUUCAGCAGUAAAGGAAACAUGGGGCAAAGGAGACUGACGAGGGGAGGCCAGGGAUGCGGUGCGGCAUCCCGGAAGCCAGGUGAGAAAAAUGCUGCAGGAGGAGGCAAUGGACAAGAUUUUUCAAAGGCUCGUAGUUUGUGAUUAUGUGAUGGGAAACACCUGAACAACUAUUUGUAGUCCUAACGCGGGAUGUCAGGCUCCAUCCAUUCAAGUUCGUCUCUCCUCCGAUGGAUCAGAAGCUUCUGGAGGGCAAGGAUGUUAGCUUUGGUCAUCUGUAUGCCCUUUGAGAUCCUAUCAUGAGGUUCCCCACACAAUAGGUACCUGACAAGUCAGAGUGAACAGACCUUACCACCAGAGAAAUGCCGUACAAGUUAAAUUCCCUGUGAAGAGCAGUUGGAAGCGUGAGAAGGGUGAUUCCCAUCAUCUGUGGUCGUUACGUUCUGUAACGUGAGCGCUGAAACAGUGAGCACUGAACCAUCCCUCCAUCACUGGUGGAAAGACACGGUUAGAUUCCAGGGAGCCUCACAAGUUUCGACUGUGGAUCAAGACAUGACCUUCUAUCAUCCGUGUUUCUGUGUAAAGACACCUGUCGUGUGCUGUUAAUUCCUUGGCAUUAAGCUCACAGUCAACAACACUGUAAGGCGCGCCCGAAGGACGCUUACCAAACACACAUCUUCUCCAUCACAGCCUCUCCUGUGAUCGGGAGCCUCGGACAGCCCUUUAGCACGUGCUGGGGAGCCGUCUUCAUGACAUCGCCAACAAAAUGCAUGAAAACGUGGCGAGGAUGACCUUAGACAGGCCAUAAGAAGGAUGUCUGUUUACCGUUAGGGAGCUGAACCAGGAGGUUGAGCUGCCCCUCAGCCAGAAACUCACGCUUCGGGUGACUCAGCUUUAAAAGCGGCUCGCGCAUGUCUGCUAAUGACCGAAGGACGGAGCGUGUUCCUUUGCGAUUACAAAUGCUUGAGCAAGCAGGCAGAUUUGCAAGUACGGAACCUGAAUCAUCAGCAUGACUGUAGCUGAGCUGAAUGGAAGGGCCCUAAGAAGGGUAUCGUAGCUUUUUCUCCGUACAUCCCUCAGGGAAGGGGUCGGAACUUCAGUAUUUUUUAACUUUCAGGAUGGCAUCAAUACUUUGGGGCAUAACACCUUGCACAAGUAACACUGAAAUUAUAGUUUGUCUUGAUCUCCUCAGUUGGACAUCAGAUUUUAUGAAAAAACGGCUUACCGUUUCUGAGUCUAUCCUCUCCGGUUAGUUUGUUCUUCCCAUAGUUUCCUAAGUUAGAUGCUCUGAGCAGGUGUUUUUAUUAGGACACUGAGGUCAUUGAACAGACUAGAAAUUGGGGUACCCCCUUAACACUCUUGGGGAAGAGAGGCUCCUGCAGUGUGUUCCAGGGUCCAUAGCUGAGUCCACCUAGAAUCCCCCCAUAGCACAAAGGUGUUUGUCCAGGCUCUCAGUAUGGUGCCAGUGGCAAUUUGCAGAAAUUCUCUGGAAGAUUUAAAAGCCCAUAAAUUGCCGGGUAGGUGAAAGCUGGGAACAGCCAACAACGUCAUAGUAUUUAUGGAGAUUGAGCCAGAGCAGACCUGGGUCGCCGAGGAGAGGGGACCACCUCCCUCCUGAAGAUGCCAUGAACGUCCUGUGACUUAGAACAGCCCAGAUUGGCCUUUAAGGGAGAACAAUAGCUUGAUCUUUUGGUUUUAAUAAGCAAUUUCCUAAAUAGCUAAAUUAAAUGUAAGAGGAAAAUGAAACAUGAACAGAAAUGUAAACCCUAUCCUUUAAAAAUGCCUUUAUAACUUUCCAUGGAACAAUUUUUUGUAUAGUUAAGGAAAAGCAAAUUUGUCAUCUCUUCUGACAGCCUCAACCUAUUUGGUUUCUAAUUCCUAAAGGAGUCCUUUUGCUCAUUGAAGAUUAAAACUCAGCUCCCCCAUCAAACACCCACUGCUUGCUUGCAGCUGAGGAAUCCCUCUGGGGAAGCUCAAGCCCCCGCCCCGCAAGGCCAUGGCUCUGUGUCCAGUCCCUGUUGGACGCCACUGCAUAGCAAAUCCAAGACAAGCCACGGGCCUCCAGGAGAGAGAGCAGUGCCAAUCCAGCCAUUAGGCUGCUCAGCCUCCCUCCCUCUUCUCUUUCCCUAAAAUUUGUCUUCCUGCCAAGAUAAUGUCCAGGCUUGUGCAGAUGCAAGAAGCAGCACAGAAAGCCACUCCACUUUGUUUUGCCUGGAAGUUAACCUUGAACUCUCAAAGGAGCACUUAGUCUUCUAUGAAACAACACCCUCCAAAUACAGCAACCCCGCCAUUCUGGAGGCCAGCCUGCCAUUGACCUCAGCCUUUCCAGCCACGAAAGGUUUUGGAAAAGGUCCUUGAGGAAAGGGCAGUCAGAAAGCCCCUCAAUUUUUCUCAGGCCAGAGGGCCAGGCAGAUUAAGGAGGGGGCCCCGGAGUGGGGUGGACCCUGCCCAGGACACUGGUAUUCAAUGCACAUUAAAAUUCUACUGGAAUGAACCAGAAAUGCCAUAUCAGUUAACUUAGGCUUUCGCUUGCAGGUCUUCUGUGGAAGUGAGUUAUUCCUUGCUGCAAGCUUCCCCAUGUGGAUCUGCUUAACCAAGCAUUCCUUUUUGUGAGACCUCCAGGUGGGCAGUGGGCACAGCAGAAGCCCAGCCUCAGCCUCCCCCCCACACACGUGUGCCCCCAGGCGGACCCUGGAGUCCUGUUUCUGUCAGCUGACCUGUGAGCUGAACAAUGCGUGGCUCCUAAGAUGCUGUUUCCUGGGAAGAAUCUCUUUUUUUUUUUUUUUUUUAAAUAUAGUUGAUUUACAGCGGAAUGAAUGCUUUUAAAAAACUCUUUCCUUGUCUGAAUGAGAAGCUCUUUAACAUACAAACACUCUAACUUAGAAAAUUGCCCACAAUCAGCAGAAGUUGCCAGUCUCCUGUUUUGAAUAUGAAGAAAGGAGUAUAUGAUUUUUAUUCAUAGACGUUUCUCACCCACACUGUGUGAAACAAACCUGCAACAUCAUUUCUCUCUUGGGAGCCACUGUGUCUGGCCCUGCUGGUUUGCCUUGCCUGGUGAAUUGUUCCUUCCCUGUCCCCAACGGCUUGGGGAUGGACCACUUAACAGCAGCACAUCUGCUCUGCGAGAGCCAAGUGUUAGGGGAGCGUUCUUGGGCUCUCAAGUGCGGGUGACCAACUAUUGUGGAUUUUCCGGCCGGAGGAUUUCCAGCGCUAACAUGAGGAAAGUCCCUUCCAGGCGGUCACCUUACUUCAGGCCAGCUUGAGCCUAAGGAGACAGCAGGGUAAGGGGUUUGCCAAUGUGGGCGUUGGAGCGGACUGCGUGGAUCAGGGCCCGUCUCCAUCACUUAACUUGCCAGGUAACCGCGGGCCGGUGACUUAACCUCACGCCUAGAAAUAACAUCUACCUCCUAGGGCUGUCUGAGGCCAGGAUGCAGUCAUGCACAUAGAAUGCCUCUCAGUGUGCUGUGCACAGAGCAGGUGCCCCUAAGCCGUAGCUGUUCCCUUACCUUAAGGACUUGAUGGGAUAGCACAGUAGUGGGGGGGGGGGUGAUCCCGCGAGAGACAUAGCAACUGAAAUACUCGACGGCCGCCCAGAACAAUCAAGACAUCAGCAUUCCUGACACCUUCAGAAGGUGCGAAGGUAGACUUGUGUUCUUCCUUUUGGAAACUGUUUCUCAAAACCAAUUUGACUUUGAAAAGUUUGGGUGCCUGUGGGGACACAUUUCAAUUAUCUGGGAAAUCCAGGCGGAUGGAUUUUUUUUUUAACUAAGAGAACCACAACCCUGCGCGCUCGAUGCUCUGCAGCCUCAAGGGGGUGGCAGGGGGGGGGAGCCUGUGGCUCAUUAGUCCUUCGGGACACAGUACCCGGCUGCAGAUCCUUGGCGUGUGCUGCGGAAAACCUGAGCUGGGGCUCCAGACACAUGUGUUUUAGAUCAGUGGUAAUAGAGUCUCCGUCUGAAGCUCUUAUUUCCUGUCAGUAAAUUUUUGCUGAGUCAUUUGAGCUCAUGCAUCUUCUGAGAGUGGAGUCACGUGGACCAGGAGACACUGCUGUGGUCCCACCGCUUGCCUGUGGGCACAUAUUUUUGCAAACUUGAUUCAACCAAUGUUCCUUCACAGGAAUCAGUAUUCCCACAUACGCUGCACUGAGGUGGGGACCUGGAGCUCACUGCGGGGGGCGGGGGGGUGUCCAGCUUUGUCCGCAAAGAGCUUGCUUUCUAGUGGAGAGGACGCGUCCAUGUUCAAGGAGCACAAGUCGAAUCUUAAAAAAGCAUUUUAUAAACUAUAAACAGAAAUACAAACCAUGUGACCAGGAAGCACAGAAUAAUCCUUCCGACUGGGGAGAACUGCAAAGGAAAGCACAUGGAGCUAGGCCUGGGAAGGAAAGUAGAAUAAGGAUUUUGAAAAGCUGAGAAAGGGAAAGCAAGCAUGGGCAGAGGGCAUGAGGAAGCUAUAAGAUGUAUGCAGGUUCCGAGCAUCGUGCCGGGCAACCAGCAGGCUUGACUGGACCACAGGAAGCCCAACGUUGGUCUCCCGAGAGAUCAGGGGGCCAGCUACACGGAGGUGUGGAAUGGAUGCCCGACUCCAGCGUUUGCACUUUCUUUCCUGUGCAAGAAGGAAGGGAAGGUGUUCAAGCGAGGGAGCCUGUGACCACCGCUAGGUCUUAGCCAAGUGACCUGGUGCAGGAGGGAGUCUGCGGGCGGUUCUGUGUGGGAUGCAGGAGGUCAGGAGAGAGCGGCCGUAUUAGGUACCCAGUGCAGGUCACUUUGACGUGCCUCAACUGUGGAUGUGCCAGAGAGGACGGCAGGGAGGGAAGAGAGGGGACUAGGGAGACACUUGGGCAGAAAGAGAAGACUUAUCUGCAUCCAUCACACCCAGUGCCAGGGUGGAACUGGGCAGGCGGGUGGCAGCCAGGAAAGGAAGAAUGAAUAGGAAAGCCAUCUGGGGAGAGCCCCAGAGCUGAUGGUGGUGAAUGAAGAUGGGGAAGUGGGCUUAGUGCCGCCUGGAAGAAAGGUUGCCCUGCACCUUAAUGAGACUGUGAAAGCGGCCAAUGACAGCGGUGUCCUGUCUCCUCAGGACGAAGCUCAGGCUGAGGUCUGAGGAAUGUGGAGGAGACGGAAGAAAGAAGUCCCAAAGGGGGACCCGAGUGCAGGUGGCGUUUUCCUAUGAGCUCCAAUCUCGGCAUCACAGCCUGGACACGGAAAGAGAUGGCCCCCUCCAGCCCCCUGCUUGAAGCCCAGCUCAGCCCCUCCUGGGUCCCUUGAUUCCUCCUUCACAGAAAAGGCAGCAUCGCUCUUGCACAAGGCAAUGGAUGUGGAUUCACCACUGGAAAUAGCUAUGUCAAAUUCCGUCGUUAAUUUAAAGCAAACACACUGAAUAUAGCAGGAAU
This 6287-nucleotide long non-coding RNA is filed under the name Sus scrofa (pig). Its description in RNAcentral is "lncRNA (ENSSSCG00025077647.1)". The record is from RNAcentral. Lineage: Eukaryota; Metazoa; Chordata; Mammalia; Artiodactyla; Suidae.